GAUGAACGCUAGCGGCAGGCCUAACACAUGCAAGUCGAGGGGCAGCAUAAAUAGUAGCAAUACUAUUGGUGGCGACCGGCGGACGGGUGCGUAACGCGUAUACAACCGUCCCUAAACAGGGGGAUAAUCCGGAGAAAUUCGGUCUAAUACCCCAUAACCUCAGAGCAGGCAUCUGUGUUGGUUAGUAUUUCCGGAGGUGUAGGAUGGGUAUGCGUAGCAUUAGCUAGUUGGCGAGGUAACGGCUCACCAAGGCGACGAUGUUUAGGGGGACUGAGAGGUUAACCCCCCACACUGGUACUGAGACACGGACCAGACUCCUACGGGAGGCAGCAGUGAGGAAUAUUGGUCAAUGGGCGGAAGACUGAACCAGCCAUGCCGCGUGCAGGAUGACGGCUCUAUGAGUUGUAAACUGCUUUUGUACGAGGGUAAAGUGGGCUACGUGUAGCCUUUUGAAAGUAUCGUACGAAUAAGGAUCGGCUAACUCCGUGCCAGCCGCCGCCGUAA
This 504-nucleotide ribosomal RNA is filed under the name uncultured bacterium. RNAcentral describes it as "partial 16S ribosomal RNA". It matches the Rfam family "Bacterial small subunit ribosomal RNA", at positions 28 to 523 of the family's 1533-position model. The record is from RNAcentral.